RNAcentral lists this non-coding RNA (770 nucleotides) under Curculionoidea sp. 12 KM-2017. Lineage: Eukaryota; Metazoa; Arthropoda; Insecta; Coleoptera. The record is from RNAcentral.
UUAAAGUUUUUUAACUUUAUAUUUUUAUAUAUUUUAUAAUUAUAUAUGAAUUUUUUUUUGAAUAAAAUAAAUUUUUAAAUAAUAUUUAUGUUAAAUUAGAAUAGUAGUAAUUAGUUUUAUAAAUUUAAGAAAUUAAGAUAUAGGUAUAAUAUUAAGUAUAAACAAAUUUUGUGCCAGCAGUUGCGGUUAAACAAAUUAUGCAAUAAAAAUUUAUCGGUUUUUAAUAUAUAAUUUUUAAAAUAAAUAAAUAGAUUUAUUAGGUGAAAUUUUAAAUUUAUAUAAUUAUUUGUUUAAAUAUAUUAUUUAAAAAAAUUUUUUUUAAAACUAGGAUUAGAUACCCUAUUAUAAAAAAGUAAAUUUUUAACUUGAUUAGUAUUUAUUAAAAUUAUGAAAAUUAAGAAAGAUGGCGGUAUUUUAGUCUAUUCAGAGGAACCUGUUCUGUAAUUGAUAAUCCACGAGUAAAAUUACUUAUUUUUUAAGUUUACAUAUCGUUGUAGGUUGAAUAUCUUUUUAGAGGAUAAAUAUUCAAGAUUUAUAGAUAAAAGAAGACAGAUCAAGAUGUAGUUUAUAGAUAAGUAGCAAUGGGUUACAAUAAAUAUAUUUAUGAAUAAAAUUUUUAAAAAGUUUUUGAAAUUGGAUUUGACAGUAAUUUUACUAAAAAUAUUUAAAAUGAUUGAGCUCUAAAAUAUGUACAUAUCGCCCGUCGCUUUCAUUUAAAAUGAAAUAAGUCGUAACAUAGUAGAUGUACUGGAAAGUGUAUCUAGAAUGCA